CGAUGAUGCAUAGCCGAGUUGAGAGACUGAUCGGGCCACAUUGGGGACUGGAGACACGGGGCCCAAACUCCUGGCGGGGGGAGGGGCAGCAGUAGGGGGAAUCUUCCACAAUGGACGCAAGUCUGAUGGAGCAACGCCGCGUGAGUGAAGUAAGGUUUUCGGAUCGUAAAGCUCUGUUGUUGGUGAAGAAGGAUAGAGGUAGUAACUGGCCUUUAUUUGACGGUAAUCAACCAGAAAGUCACGGCUAACUACGUGCCAGCAGCCGCGGUAAU
RNAcentral lists this ribosomal RNA (272 nucleotides) under uncultured Lactobacillus sp. RNAcentral's name for it is "partial 16S ribosomal RNA". It matches the Rfam family "Bacterial small subunit ribosomal RNA", at positions 274 to 524 of the family's 1533-position model. The record is from RNAcentral. Lineage: Bacteria; Bacillati; Bacillota; Bacilli; Lactobacillales; Lactobacillaceae.